UGCGUAGGUGGUCGGGUAAGUCUGAUGUGAAAUCUCCGAGCUCAACUCGGAAAUGGCAUUGGAUACUAUUCGGCUGGAGGGUUGGAGGGGGGACUGGAAUACUUGGUGUAGCAGUGAAAUGCGUAGAUAUCAAGUGGAACACCAGUGGCGAAGGCGAGUCCCUGGACAACUCCUGACACUGAGGCACGAAAGCUAGGGAGCAAACA
Molecule: ribosomal RNA, 206 nt
Filed under: uncultured bacterium
Lineage: Bacteria
Description: partial 16S ribosomal RNA
Rfam family: Bacterial small subunit ribosomal RNA
Source: RNAcentral